This 284-nucleotide long non-coding RNA is filed under the name Zostera marina. RNAcentral describes it as "long non-coding RNA (ZMAR_LNC003304)". The record is from RNAcentral. Lineage: Eukaryota; Viridiplantae; Streptophyta; Magnoliopsida; Alismatales; Zosteraceae.
UUGUAUAUUUUUUACAGUCAACUUCAGGUGGCUGCGGAUGGCCCACGGAUUCGUCAAAUCCGGCGGAUCCGUGGUGUGACCUGGAACUGGCGCGGUUUCAGUCUUGCGAUUCCGAAUUUAAAAUAGUCAAUAUUCAGAAGAUAGCCUUUGAGGCAGCCUUGAAAGCCAUGGCUGACAUGAAAGUUGAUGCUGAGUUUGAGAAGAAGAUGAUGGCCACAUUAGGGAAGCAACUUAGUGCUUCAAUUCCAUCUUCAUCAAAGGCAAGAGAAGUUUUACCGUCGACG